GCGCUUUCCUCAGCAACAAGUCUACACAUCUGCUCUCCGCGCCUCGGAAAUCUUGCUAAGGAACAUCGACUACCUCCACUUCGCGGCUAAGCGGGAGCGAGCUGAACGGUCUCUCUUGAAAAUCCUGCACCUACGCCAAAGAGUUCAAACAUUGGAGGUAAGUGUCAUUCAUGUUUUAUUAUAUAUAUUAUAUUAUUGUGCAAACAUUGAAAAGGGGCUGUUAUAUUAUGACAAAAAACAAGUGUUGAUUAUUACCUCAAUAUUGUAAUAGCAAUUAUUAUUGUUGAUUAAUUGAUUUUACAUUGAAUUUUAAAAAUGUUGUACUUAAUGAUG
This is a long non-coding RNA of Triplophysa dalaica, 333 nucleotides long. RefSeq lists it as uncharacterized. The record is from RefSeq and is a predicted model, not a curated record. The transcript is spliced from 3 exons. NCBI's taxonomy places the organism in Eukaryota, Metazoa, Chordata, Actinopteri, Cypriniformes, Nemacheilidae.